Molecule: long non-coding RNA, 500 nt
Filed under: Mytilus galloprovincialis (Mediterranean mussel)
Lineage: Eukaryota; Metazoa; Mollusca; Bivalvia; Mytilida; Mytilidae
Source: RNAcentral
CCCUGUGUAUUCCGAAUUCCGGUCUAAUUAUGAAGUCCCAAUACUCUUAAUUACAAUAAUUAUUACCUGUCAAAACCGGUUUGUCUAAUUAAUUUCAAUGAUCGAUAUGCAAUCAAAACAAAUUUGUUUAUACAAUAUGGCUUUUCGUGAUAAUCAAUUAGUCAGGUGUCAAACUGUGAACCUACAAUCGUACAGUAGUGAGCUGUAUUAUUUAUUAAAACAUUAUAAACGUGUCAAUUAAACGAAAAGACACACCGAAUAUAUCUCGGAUUGAACUUACUUUUUAACAUCAUGGAUAAACAAAUUAAAAUCGCGGAGUAAGAAAUUCACAUCGUGAUUUCGAAAUCCUGGGUUCCCUGUUGUGAACCCCUAAACAAAUGACCUUGAUAAUGAAAAACAUUCGGAUGACAACAAUCAAUGGAUAUUGUACACUGUACGACAACGUUUCGAAAGUGAUGAAAUUACGUUUGAAAAUAUUCUGGCUUUUUAAUCGGCCAUUC